GCCCAGAUGGCGGAACUGGUAGACGCGCUAGACUCAAAAUCUGGUUUCAGCAAUGGAGUGCAGGUUCGAUUCCUGUUCUGGGCA
Molecule: non-coding RNA, 84 nt
Organism: Sphingobacteriales bacterium 46-32
Lineage: Bacteria; Pseudomonadati; Bacteroidota; Sphingobacteriia; Sphingobacteriales
Source: Rfam